GAGGAGAAACGUCUUCGAGGUCGGGCCUGGGGAUUCGCCCACCUUCCCCCGGUUCCGGGCCAUCCAGUUGGAGCCUGCAGAGCCAGGCCAGGCAUGGGGCCGCCAGUCCCCCCGACGUCUGGAGGACUCAAGCAAUGGAGAGCGGCGAGCAUGCUGGGCUUGGGGUCCCAGUUCCCCCAAGCCUGGAGAAGCCCAGAAUGGGAGGAGAAGGUCCCGCAUGGACGAAGCCACAUGGUACCUGGAUUCAGAUGACUCAUCCCCCUUAGGAUCUCCCUCCACACCCCCAGCACUCAAUGAGACUAGGAAACCAAGGCUGAGACAAGACAGAGCCGAUCCUGGAACCCAGGUAACCCCCCGCGGCCUAGCCUGGAGCCCGAGGAGCCCAAGAGGCCUGUUCCCGCAGAGCGCGGUAGCAGCUCUGGGACGCCCAAGCUGAUCCAGCGCGCGCUGCUGCGUGGCACCGCCCUGCUCGCCUCGCUGGGCCUCGGCCGCGACCUGCAGCCGCCGGGAGGCCCAGGACGCGAGCGCGGGGAGCCCCCGACAACACCCCCCACGCCAACGCCCGCGCCCUGCCCGACCGAGCCGCCCCCUUCCCCGCUCAUCCGCUUCUCGCUCAAGACGCCCGACUCCCCGCCCACUCCUGCACCCCUGUUGCUGGACCUGG
RNAcentral lists this small RNA (664 nucleotides) under Pongo abelii (Sumatran orangutan). Its description in RNAcentral is "processed transcript". Lineage: Eukaryota; Metazoa; Chordata; Mammalia; Primates; Hominidae. The record is from RNAcentral.